AGUGAACGUUGGCGGCGUGGAUUAGGCAUGCAAGUCGAGCAAGAACCGUAGCAAUACGGGGACAGCGGCGAAAGGGACAGUAAUGUGUAGGUACCUACCUCCGGGUUCGGGAUAGCUGCGGGAAACUGCAGGUAAUACCGAAUAACGUCUUCGGACCAAAGGUGUGAUUCCACCUGGAGAGGGGCCUGCAUCCUAUUAGCUUGUUGGCGGGGUAACGGCCCACCAAGGCGACGAUGGGUAGCGGGGGUGGGAGCACGACCCGCGUCAUUGGGACUGAGACACUGCCCAGACACCUACGGGUGGCUGCAGUCGUGAAUCUUCGGCAAUGGGCGCAAGCCUGACCGAGCGACGCCGCGUGCGGGAUGAAGGCCUUCGGGUUGUAAACCGCUGUCGUAGAGGAGGAAAUGCAGGGGGGUUCUCCCCUCUGUUUGACCUAUUCUAGGAGGAAGUACGGGCUAAGUUCGUGCCAGCAGCCGCCGCCG
Molecule: ribosomal RNA, 482 nt
Filed under: uncultured bacterium
Lineage: Bacteria
Description: partial 16S ribosomal RNA
Rfam family: Bacterial small subunit ribosomal RNA
Source: RNAcentral